UUUAUCUCCAAUGUCUCAACAGCCUAAUUUGACACAUGAGGAGACAAUGAUUGAAUCAGCUGCAUCUCCAAAGUCUCAACAAAAUGAGGAUUACACGCAACCAUCGAGUGAGACGCCUUUAUCUCCAAUGU
This is a long non-coding RNA of Brassica oleracea var. oleracea, 131 nucleotides long. RefSeq lists it as uncharacterized. The record is from RefSeq and is a predicted model, not a curated record. Lineage: Eukaryota; Viridiplantae; Streptophyta; Magnoliopsida; Brassicales; Brassicaceae. The transcript is spliced from 3 exons.